This 411-nucleotide ribosomal RNA is filed under the name uncultured bacterium. RNAcentral describes it as "bacterial SSU rRNA". It matches the Rfam family "Bacterial small subunit ribosomal RNA", at positions 28 to 428 of the family's 1533-position model. The record is from RNAcentral.
GACGAACGCUGGCGGCGUGCUUAACACAUGCAAGUCGAGCGGUAAGGCCCUUUCGGGGGUACACGAGCGGCGAACGGGUGAGUAAAACGUAGGGUGGACCUCGCCCUCCAGCUCUGGGAGUAAAGACCGUCGGGGAAACCGGGGUACCGUAAUAACCGGAUAUGACUCCAUGACGCAUGUUGUGGGGUGGAAAGCCUUGUGCGGCUGAGGAUGGGCCCGCGGCCUAUCAGCUUGUUGGUGGGGUGAGUGGCCACCAAGGCGACGACGGGUAGCCGGCCUGAGAGGGCGACCGGCCACACUGGGACUGAGACACGGCCCAGACUCCUACGGGAGGCAGCAGUGGGGAAUCUUGCGCAAUGGGCGAAAGCCUGACGCAGCGACGCCGCGUGAGGGAUGACGGCCUCGGUGUAA